RNAcentral lists this ribosomal RNA (497 nucleotides) under uncultured bacterium. Its description in RNAcentral is "partial 16S ribosomal RNA". It matches the Rfam family "Bacterial small subunit ribosomal RNA", at positions 28 to 507 of the family's 1533-position model. The record is from RNAcentral.
GAUGAACGCUGGCGGCGUGCCUAAUACAUGCAAGUCGAGCGAACAGAUAAGGAGCUUGCUCCUUUGAAGUUAGCGGCGGACGGGUGAGUAACACGUGGGUAACCUACCUAUAAGACUGGGAUAACUUCGGGAAACCGGAGCUAAUACCGGAUAACAUUUAGAACCGCAUGGUUCUAAAGUGAAAGAUGGUUUUGCUAUCACUUAUAGAUGGACCCGCGCCGUAUUAGCUAGUUGGUAAGGUAACGGCUUACCAAGGCGACGAUACGUAGCCGACCUGAGAGGGUGAUCGGCCACACCGGAACUGAGACACGGUCCAGACUCCUACGGGAGGCAGCAGUAGGGAAUCUUCCGCAAUGGGCGAAAGCCUGACGGAGCAACGCCGCGUGAGUGAUGAAGGGUUUCGGCUCGUAAAACUCUGUUAUUAGGGAAGAACAAAUGUGUAAGUAACUGUGCACAUCUUGACGGUACCUAAUCAGAAAGCCACGGCUAACUACGUG